Molecule: long non-coding RNA, 16675 nt
Filed under: Brassica napus (rape)
Lineage: Eukaryota; Viridiplantae; Streptophyta; Magnoliopsida; Brassicales; Brassicaceae
Description: long non-coding RNA (BNAP_LNC008773)
Source: RNAcentral
UGGAUUAGUGUUUUCUUUGUUUGCCGUUGUAUCCAACUUAAAGGUAUCACCACUCUGUUUUGCUGGAAAGUUCGAAUGACGAGCUGUAGAAGAGAGUCUUGAUACAUUCCGAUGAGAGUCACUCCCCUGAGCUGAACCAAUCACUUUACAAAACGUUGUACUCUGCAUCUUCAACACCGCAAGUUUGUGGUCAGUCAAACUCACUGGCUCCUUCAUCCGAAUCACUUCUUUCAUUUCUGACUUCAACCCAUUGAAGAACACCUUGACUAAGUUCUUCUCGUCAAUUCCCGUGACUUGAUUUAUCAAAGCUUCAAACUCGUUGACAUAGUCCUCAACCUCUCCCUCCUGUUUUAAACAGAACAAUCUUGCAGCUGGAUCGUUGUCAAUUGGACCCCCAAAUCUGUCUAGCAUCCUCUGAGUAAACUGUUCCCAGUUGACAAAAGGAUCACAGAUAAUCUCUCCAUUGAACCAUUGUAACACUGGACCUUCCAAGCUCAAAGAAACUAGAUGUAGCUUCUCUUCCUCAUUGUAGUUACCAAACCUGAAAAAUCUUUCCACACGAGAAAUCCAAUCGAAUGGCAAUGGACCAGAGAACACAAGCAUUUCAAUUUUCCUCAACAUCUUAUCACGAUUCGCCAAAGUGCCAUGGAUUCCCCGAUAACCUAACUGUGUGGGAGGUAGUUCCGGCUCAUAGAUAGUUAUCGGUACCUGAGGGCGCUGAUUAUCUGAUGAUGAUGCAAUUUCUUUUCCCGGACGUUGCGGAAACGCAGCUGAUUCUUCGAAUCGCGUCAAAAGGUCUGUGAUGACCGUCAUCCUCCUCUCUAGAGCUUCGAAUCGCGUCGUCGUCUCCACACCGAUCGCGUCGAUCUUCUUCUCCACCGAAUCGACUUUCGUCGACAUUGAUUCCACUCGCUCCUUUGUAGAUCGAUCGUUACGAGCUAGCGUAUCGUAGUUGAGCUUCGUCAGCUCCAUUUCAUCUUGAAUUCGUUGAAGAUCCAUCGAUUUCAGUGGCUCUGCGGUCGACGACUUCUCCCGAUCACCUCCGUUUCUUGUUUCCACCAUCGUUCUUCUGUCGCGUUGCUUCCGAUCAGUUUCACCGCACCAGUGAUAGACUUUAGAUAUUGUAAAGCUAAAGACUAUGAACGAUUCCUUUGAUUAUCAAUAUAAAGAGUUACAGCUUUGAAGUACGAUACUGGUUCACUCUCAUAGCGAGAUCACCAUUCUCGUCAGUCUCAUAGCGACUGUUAGCUCAAGACUCAUAACGUCGGUGAGUUUACAACAUACAAAGCAUAAUCUCUCAAAUGCAUAUACAAUAGCUAUUUAUAUCAUCUCCAUCUGUAACCGCAAAGACUCUCUCUGAAAUAGAAGUUUCCCCCUUCCUUGUUAUUCACUUCACUUCAGACUCCUCACUCUCUUCCUCACUUGACUCCAACGGUUUUUUACCUCCUCCCCUGCGAAUAUAAACCUUCUUGAACCUAUCACUUCCAUGUCGCUGGCUAGCUCGGUUAAUCGGGGCGGGAGAGCCAUGUCUCCGCUUUCUCUCACCAUCACAUCCUAAACCAUCACUGGAGUUCAAGCGGGUCUGAGAAAACAGUUGUUGCAGUGACUAAAGGCUUCAACCUACACAAAUAAGAAGAGGAGCAAAACCACCAACAAGAUCAAGCCACCAAUUGGUGCUGCGAUGUGUUUCUCCAAACAUUAGGAGUCACCGAAGAAGCACCAGAAACCGGAGACAACCUGACCAUCCAUCCAAUGUCUUCGCCUAAUGCCCAUGCAAGAGAACCAACGAACAGUUCUUGACUGAGUGGUACAAGAUUGAACAUAAUUGUAUUUGGCUGAGAAUUUAAAUAACUUGUUUGCACCAAACAUAAAAUAUAAUUGUAUCAGUUUUACCAUUUAUUUAACGGGUCUAUACUAUGUUUAGCAUCUUCUAAAAUUAUAAAUGUUGUAUUAAUAUGUUCGGUGCAUGUUUUUCAAAACGGUGCAUCUUUAAUGAAUAAUAUUUUCGUUUUUUUUCUUCAUUAUGAGUUAUUUUUAUGAUACAAACUAUUUUGUGAUUUUUAUGAGAAUUUCCCUAUUAUUAACUAGAUUUUAAUUAUUAAAAAAGAUAAAAUAAUUAGAUAAUAAUAGUUAAUAUUUUCAAGUUUAAAAAAUCUAUAAGUCUCUACCAUUAUUGAUGCUCUUAUAUAUAUCACACUCUGAUAUGUUAGAAAGAACAAGUAAAACAAAAAUUACACAAACCUUUAUAUUGAAAAGAAACCGAAACAUGAUUGUAGCAACAGUCCCACAUCGGUACUUUAGAGAGUGAUGGUCCAAUAUAUAUGUAGUGAUAAUUUUCCUCAAGUGCACUUUUCCCGAUUCAUAAAAAAUCGUUCUCUUGGAAUAUCCAAAAUUUGUUUCCUCAAGUGCUACACAUAUUCCUCCAUCGAGUUGUUGUACAUAACAAUAUCGUCCAGAUUUUCCACCACUAACCGAUCCAAGUAGGAAUCUAGGAUUUGGUUCAUGAAAGUACAAAAGUGGCUGGGUAUUUUUAAGACCGAAUGGUAUCACCAACCACAUCAACGACCGAUAUUGUUUAUGCAUGUUGUUUCCUUCAGUAAUCUAAAUUUGAUAUUACCCCUUUCGCAAGUCCGUUUUAGUUUGGACCUUUGUCCUUCCAUGUCUAUUGAAUAUAUUGACAAUCAGAGAAAUAAAGUAGUUAUUCUUGAUUGUCACCUUAUUAUGUGCCCAAUAGUCUAUUCACAUCCACAAAGUCUCGUCGUUCUUCUUCUAGCACACAACUGGGGUGCAAUAAGGUGUCCUGGACGGUCUCAGCUUCCCCUUCGCUAACAGUUCAUCAAGUUAUUUUUGUAACUCCUCAAAUUUGGAUGGACCCAUCCGACAGGGUGCCAUUGUGAGUGGUUUGUAUCCCAUCUCCAACUCAAUAUGAUGGUCCAUGCCCUCCUCGUUGUAAUUUUCAGGAAACUUAGCGAAAUCACGUCUUUGUUCUUGUCAAGGACCGCCUCGAUGGCUGGUGGAAUUGAUUUAACGUUCUCAGGCUCAUUUUCCAUCUUCAUUAUGGCCAGAAAUGUGGGUUCUUCCUUCACUCUCUUGGUGAGCAUCAUGGCUGAAAGUUACUUUGUCCCAUUGGACUUUUCUUCUAUGCAAAAUCAUACGUGGUUAGCCCUUCUUGAGAAUGCACACCAUGCUUAGCACGAGCAUGAGUAUAGCCGUCACUUGUUUCAUGAAUUACAUACUCAACACUAUCUUGAAAUAUUCCAUGGGAAUGACUGAUAAGUUUACUGGACCAUUCCAACUUCCCAUCCGCAUCUCAAUCCCUCGACCUAUCACAUUGACGGUUUGAGCCUUAGUGUUCACCUUCUCAUCCAACCAUCUAUCCUCGUCCACUUGAAUCUGAAUCUCGUGGUUUCAUCUUCUGCCAUGAAGUUAAUUCACUAAUGUCCACCAUCAUUCGGGUUGGUUUAUCAUAAAUCCAAACUUCAAUGUACAUGAGCUCCUUGCUCAUUGGUUUCACCACUGGAUUGGCCUUAAGGGCGUUAAGGAGUUAUAUCGAGUAUAUCUUGAUCGUUUCUUUCUUGGUAGUCUCAGUCGCAUUAUUUUCCAUGAUUGCGGACAAUGUCCUAGUCUUUGGACUAUCCUUCACAAGAUGCGGCCCUUUUCAGAAAAAUCAUCCUCUUUGAUUCAAACUCCUCCCGAAAACAUCCCUUCUUAAAGCUCCUCGAGUGGAAUGGCCAGGCUGUAUCCCAUCUAUCUUCCACACCUUUGGCUACAACAUUCUCCUUCUUCUUAAAGAACUCAAAAUGAUCAGUCGCAAAGGUCAGUUAAUGACUCGGCCACCACUAUUGUUUCAUCAACAUACUGAACUCCACGUUGCUGCAACUCUUCCUUUUCCAGCAUUUGUUGUCCAUCUGCAUAGUAAAACAUGAGCUCCUCGUCCAUUAUGCUCGGAAUCUGAAGCAUGUGAGUAGUGAAUUCCUUCACAUAUUCGCGGAUCAUACCUCAAUCUAAAAUAUUCCUAAACUUCUUACAUGAUUCAUACACAACAUUUUCUGGGUAGAACACCGCUUCUACUCCUUAAAAUCUUCCCGUCUUAACCGAAAAAUUCCCCGUUCAAUGUCGGAAUGUUUUAUAUGCCACCACAUCAUACUUUUGUCCGCCAAGUAUGGUGUUUUGGUCUUUAACUUUGCAUCCAUCCUUGGCAUCUCUUACUCCGUUGAACUAUAAUGGUUGUGGAAAGUCAAUCCGAACAAAUCUGUUUGCUAAAACGGUAUCUAUAUUCAUGCUUCCCCUCUUGCAUAUCGUGAUAUCUUCCUCCAUCACAUAAUACUUUGCCUUCCUCCCUUUGAUAUCAUUAUACAAGGUCUUCCAAUUACCAACUCCUCAAGUCAAACAAACCAAGAGUAGACGUCAAUAUCAUUUUGCUUGACCUCUUCGAGCCAGCUGAACAUGCAGCUCUCCAGCUCUGUGAUGUAAUGCUCGACCGUCAGAGCUUCUCACCUAAUUCACCCAUGACUUGUUCCAAGACUUCACGGAAAAACACUCCUCUCUCGUCAGCAUCCAACAUGAGAAAACGUUGUCUCCCUUAUGCGUUCCUCAUGAACUCAGGACGUCAAGCUAACUUUCUUAUCUUUACUUACCUUAACCAUACUCUCGGACUAAAUCUUCCCUCGUCACAUACAAACUUUCGUUUUGAUACAACUUGUCACAGACUGAUUCCUCUUGAAUCAAAAUGUGCGGUCUUAACACUUUUUACGCGUUAUAAUUGCUAAGUCAAUCGUUUACCAAAACUUGGAACUUUGCUUAGAGAGAGAGAGAGAGAGAGAUAGAGAGAGAAUCACAGAAAGAGAGAGACUUUAAAAGAAGUGUUUAUCUUAUAUAUCGGUGAAUAAUUUACAAAUGGGAGUUCACCCAUUUUAUAUGUACAAUAUCAUCUUCGACAGACGCUGGUGAUAAAACCGAUUUUUCCGAUUUAUUUUUAGUUGAAUAAUUUUAUUUUUAAAAAUCUUUAAAAAGUAAUAAAUAUAAAUGGAUUUGAGUUUUUUUUGGCCCAGUCUAUUUACUUGGUUGCUCCAUGUCUGUUUUGGGGUCAAAAUCUCCUAAAAUUUAUUUGAAAAAAUUUAUAAUAUUAAAAAUUAAUUAUAAUUAAAAAAUUAUAAUUUUGGAACUUGUGUGUUUGGGGGUCAAAAUCUUUCAACGUUUAAUUGCAAAUAACAAGGUAAUAAAUAAAAAGUAAAUAUUGAAGAAAACAAAUGUCACAUGAAAUCUGAACGUCUCUUAUCUUCUCCUUGCCUCAUCAUCGUCGCUUAUGCGUUUAGUCUUCUAAAUAAUACAAUUUAUCUUCUUUUCCAUUUCAUUUCUCCGAGAGAACUUUUGCAUUUAAAAAAAAAAACAAAAUCGAGAAGGAGACUGAGAAUCGUGCAGAGGAGAAAAGACACCCACCCACCAAGUUUUCAAUUUCGACAAAGAUACGUUUCAGUUUUGAUCUUGAUUCGUUCCGGGUAACCACCAUUUCUUUUUCUUUAAUCGGUCUCUUCGUCGUUUAGAUCGUUCUUGAUUUGAUGCAUUUGCGACAGGAUGUGCAGAUCGGGAGAUUGGCCCACUGCAAGAUUGGAUUUUUAAUUUGGCAUCUGAUUCGAUUUGGUUGGGGUAAUUGGAAUCAGUAACUUAAUUUGCCAAGAUCAUGUUUUUAUGUAUUAAAAAUGAAAUAACGCUUCUGCAGAAGCUAUACUUUUGGGAGCUAAAGCAAAGCAGGCUGCUCCUGGUGAUGUUCUUAAUGGUAAAUUAUUGUUGUGCGUAUUAAAUUAAUAUCCUUGCCUGCUUCUUCUGUUUUGUGUGACUGACUUGACUCUCUCUCUCUAGGUAUCCUCAAAGUCCUUGUAACUUUUGAUCGAGUGCGUGCUUGUGUUCUAGGCAGAGAGAGAGAGUUAUGAAUCCAAUGCAAGGCCCGCGGAAUAGUGAUGUGAAUCAAGGAGAUACUAAUGAACCGGUUUAUAACACAGAGAUGAAUCCAUUAGUAGAGAAUGAGUUCUCAAACAGUGGUACUACGCCUUCAGGACGACCUGCUCAAAAUCAUAACUGGUGGAGAUUUGGGGAGUCCAGCUCAGCGAAUCACCAGCUGCCCCCACAAGAUGGAUAUGGAGGGCCUUCUUUCUUGCGCGGUUCAGGCUCUAACGCUAUGAGCAUGGACAUGGACAGCGAUGGUUACGGUGCACAGACUUCCGGGGUCGUUUUCCGUCAUAGUAACUAUGGGAGUUCAUUAGGAAGCUCAGUUCAGGCCGCUGGAGAGAGCAGUAGUGGUCCGGCCUCUUCUUUGGGUCUUUGGGGUUCCUCUUGCAAAAGAAAGGCUCUCGAAGGAGUUCCUACUGCUGAAACUCCUGACUUCGUUUCUCACAACGACAAUGCAGCUCAUCCUCGUUAUGGUGCUUCCAGUAGCUUAACGUUGGCUACCCCCUCACAAACUUCUCCUAAUCCUUUUGGCCGGACAGAACCCUUGUUUGGAGGAACUAGACCGGCAGCUUCAACUAAUGCUUUUCAUUCCGUAAGAAACACUGACACUUCUUCUAGACCUGGCAGAAGGUUAAACCCGAGGCAGCCUCAGGAGUCUGUUGCAUUCAGCAUUUCACUAGGUGGAACUUCUGUGCGUCCCACUGGCUCUUUGCAACAGAAUAUAGAUCCUCGGUCAACAGCAUUCGCUAGUGGCUCAAGCAGUGGUGAGCAUCCGUCAAAUAUAGUCCAUCACCCUGCUUUGACGAGGAAUAUACACCAAUUUGCUUGGGAUAGAGGAAGCGGCUCUUCGGGUGUUGAAAUGCCACAGUGGGAAACACCAAGAAGCAAUCCGGAGCAGCCCACCAUGUUUGCACCUCCAACUGACAUUAGAAACCCCGUGCAUGAUCAAUCCAUGUGGAGUUUCACACGUGGGAGUCCUGUAGAUUCUCCGUUCGCUUCUCGAGGAGGGCCGAGUUCAGCUAUUCAUGGGCAGCAGCAGCAGCCAUCAAAUCCCGCAUGGAUUCCUCCUCAGAGUGGCCCAAUACAUGAUCCAACGAGAGCAUCAGAACUAUCUCCUUGGUCUUUAUUUCCUAGUAUUGAAUCUCAAUCUGCUAGUCAUGGUCCCUUGUUGCCCACAGGUCCUUCUCUUUCCUCAAAUGAGGCUGCAAUGCCAUCUAGCUCUAAUAGCCGGAGCCAUCGCUCACGGCAAAGAAGGUCAGGGUUGUUAUCUGAGAGACAGAAUGAGCUUCUCCACUUGCGUCACUUAGGGAGGAGCUUAGCUGCUGACAGUGAUGGAAGGAAUCACCUUAUCUCUGAGGUCUGUCUUCUAUAUAUUACUCAGCUCUUUAAUGAUUAUUCUUAACAGCCUACAAUAGCAUUUGACCAUUUCUUGGGGGGUGAUGUUUUCUGGUGUUUUACUUUUGUGAUAUAAUCUGGUUUUGUACUUUUGUGAUCUAAGUUAAUAUAUGAGUGCUAGAGCAGUUUGGUGCAUUCUGAUAUGACUUAAUGCAAACCAUAGUAACGUUAUGGGAGAUGUUUCUUGUUUUGUAAACCUCCUUUUUGUUUUUGUUUUUUGUACUUCGAUAAGAGUUUUAAUAGUGAGUUGUACUGUACUCUUUCCUCUUUUUGUUCGCAGAUACGUCAGGUGUUGUCCGCCAUGAGAAGAGGGGAAAGUUUACGUAUUGAGGUAUGAUUUUGACACAAGUGAUUCUCUUGUUUAUAUCAGUUUAUUGGUAGACGUGUUUUCCUGAAGUGUGCGAAGGAGUCCCUGAAUACACGUUUUAGCUUUAUAACUUUUAAACCAUAGUUUCCUGCAAACAAGUGCCUGACAUCUUUGUAGCUGCAAUGUAUCAUAGUCUUAAGUGUUAUAGGUCUCACAUUACGAACAUAGUCUUAGCCACUUGUGAGUUCCUUUUAUUCCUUUCUGAAGCAUUACAUGUGUAGCUUACCUUCCUGUUUCUCCAUUCGAUAGGAUUACAUGGUGUUGGAUCCACUUAUCUUCCAGGGUAUGACUGAAAUGCACGAUAGGCAUCGGGAAAUGCGCCUUGAUGUCGACAACAUGUCGUACGAGGUGAGUAUUCAAUUUCCUUUUUGACUGUUUAAUCGCAAUCUUCCCAUUUGCCAAUGUUGUCUGGGAAUGAAUGUAGGAGCUAUUGGCACUUGGGGAACGCAUAGGAGAUGUGAGCACUGGACUAAGCGAAGAUGUCAUUCUGAAAACAAUGAAACAGCACAAAUGUACAUCUUCUUCUCCUGAGUUGCAUCAGUACAUGGAGCCUUGCUGUAUUUGUCAGGUAAACUAGUUAUAAACUAAAGAGUAUUCCACUCCUUUCACUACUGUACAUUAAUCAUGCAUCUGUAUACUCAGCCAUUCCUUACGCGACAAUUACACUUAGUGAGCAUAAAAGAUAAGAAAAGUGGUUUUUUAUUGUUUCUCUUGCAUGUGGAGUGAAUUAGGAUACUGCAGAUAAGAUAGAUUGGACCAGAGUUUGUUUGUUGUUUGGGAGCCUUCUGAGAUUUGGAAAACUUAGUUUCCUCUGUGUCUCUACUUAAUGUGUCUCUACUUAAAGUCACGAACUGAUGUGGAACUGUUUUUCUUGGUGCUGUUUUGACAGGAAGAAUAUGCAGAAGGUGAUGAUCUUGGGACCUUGGAAUGUGGCCAUGAGUUCCACAAGGACUGUAUCAAGCAAUGGGUCAUGCUCAAGAAUCUCUGCCCCAUAUGUAAGACCGUGGCAUUAACAACGUGAUGGUACUCUCAUCUUAAUUGCGCAUCCCGGCUCCAUUCAUCAUCCUUUCGAUGCCAAAAGAAAAGAAAAAAACAAAAAAUUAAAGAACUGUUCUUCUAUCUAUCCCUAUCUCAUAUCAAAUAUUUAAUUGUUAUGCUUGCUCGUUAUGUCACACUGUUAAGAGAACAUUAUGACAAACAAAUUCAUAACAUAUCCAUGGAGAAAGAAUAAUUCAUUAGAAUCCUUUUGUAAUUGUUGAUAGUUGAUUGUUCAUUUCUUAAUAACAUGCCUUUCAAUUUCUUACAAAGAUUUUGGUUUUCAAAUUUUCUCAAAAGUAAAAACAGGAAUGCUUAAACUACAGAAUCAUGUACAAUAAAAGAGUUCACAUUUCUUGUUCCCAAUGAGAAUCAUUUCCUCAUAAUAAGAUGCUUUAAAGUUCUCACAAAUGUUUUGUUUAUGACAAUUGAGCAGUAUAAAUGCUUAAACUACAGAUAUCAUGUGUCUUAAUGUGUCUCUACUUAUGCUCUUGUUCCCAAUGAGAAUAAUCCCCUUUUUUUACUAGAAUCUUUUGUAAAUAGUUCACAGUUGAUUUCUUAAUAAGAUUCUUUAAAAUUCUUACAAAUAUUUUGUUUUUGAGAAUUGAGCAGUAGAAAUGCUUAGACUAGGGAAACAAAGCUUAUGUAGUAAAAACUCUUCUGUCUAAGGAAAGAGUAAAGAGCAUGUACAAUAAAACUCGGCCUGCUCAGGCAAAGCGCUGACAUUGAGAAAGAACACUUGAAAGAAAACGCACCGUCUCAUCAGAGUUGGGCUCCCCUAAAUGGCGUUGAUGAGUUUGGUCCCUGUAGCAGGAUCUUCAUCUAUGGCAACAACAUCGCUGAACUUGUCAAAAAGCUGCUCCAACUGAUCCACUCCCAUCUUAUUGUAAUCCAGUGACCUCUUGUACCUUUGCUUGUAUACCGCCUCAAAACAAUCCAUCCGCACGCGACAACCAUAGCUAACCAUAAUGUCUUGCAGCUCCAACUUGAACUCUUCCAGGCUCCUCUCGCUCUGAGUCGAACCAGUAUCCGAGAGUUCAUCAGAUGAGACUCCUCCUCCAUUGGUAGUAAUGCUGAUAUCUUUGUCUUUAUUCUCUCUCCUCAGUAGAACCACAGGCGGAGGAGAAGGAGGAGAGACACGGCUCGGUCUGGAGCUCCGAAGAUAAACAAACCUCUUGUUGCCUUUACCAUCCACAGCAAUCACAUCACCCAUCUUCUUGAAAAGAUCCACAAGCUUAGGCGAACCAUAAUCCGCCACAAAAAGAGGUUUACUAAAAUUCCUUUGAUACUCAGAAGGAACACGCAUGAGAGGCAUACACCCACCCGAAAGCUCCAAAAGCUUCACUAGCUGUCCCUUCAAACCAUUCAAAUCUCCAGGCGCUACCCACAUGGUGGACUCAAGGUGGCCAGGAGGAGGAUAACAUGACGGCAUCAUGCUGCUACUGCUACUACACUCAUUCUGAAACUGAGAAACCAUCAAGGAAGAAGCUUCUCUAGAGUUACCACUAUAAAAACUCUGAGACACACCUCUAUAAAGAAUCGUCUCAUCUUCAUUCACCGCCCCAUCAAGAUUAUUACUGCCACAUCCCAUCAGAUAGGUCCCAACACGAGGCCUCGGCAACGGCACAAACCCUUCACCGUGAACAAUGCUUUGCCAGUCCCAAACAAACUUACCAGCACUAGUCAAAGCCGGGUUCACGUACACGCCAGAAGGUAUAAUGACAACCACACUGUGCCCACGCUGGCCAAGCACGUGAAGAGCGGGAGCGAAAUCAACAUCUCCAGUGAUGAUAACGAUAGUGGAAGGAGGAGGAUGGUCAAGCACGAACAGGAACAUGUCGAGGAGGAUAGCUUUAUCAGCUGCGUCUUUCCUGCCGUUGGGUACAUCGACGAGUUUGACACCUGUCCUCUGACAGCCUUCCCUGACGCGGCGAGGGAAGGCGUUGAAGUCGCCGAAGGCUGAGAAGACGACCACCGAGCCGGAGACCACUGGGUGGAGCUGUAUAGCGGUUCGGAUGUUACUGGCGACGUCUUCGGGACGUACGUCGCUGGGGACGGGACAGUUUUCGAUGUCCCAGAGGACUGCUAGAGGAGCUUCGCGUCUCUGUGUGGCGGCCAUUAGGUUGAAAUCGCUUGCAAAGGAAUCAACGGAGACGAUCGCUGUUUCUGAUGGUGACAUUGCUUUUUGUAUCAUCAUCAAUCGCUGGCUUCUAUUAACAAACAAAAACACUUCGAGUAUGGUUUUAGCUAGGGAUUAGAGAAAUUGAGAUGAAGAUUAAGCAGAUCGAAAGCAUAGUACCUGAUGCACAGAGACGGAUCUUGAAGAUGAGAGAGAGAUUUCACGAUUCUGCAGAAUCUUAAGGGAAAGAUGAUAUUUCUUCUCCGGCGGAAAAAGGAAAUUAAAAUUGUUUUGGAGCUUUCACCGACUCUCUUUCUAAGUUUUCUCUUUCGUGGGCUUAUGUAGUUCCUUAAAAGCCCAUUUCCGCCAUUUUCUAUCUUCUUUGAAAACUUUUGUUUUUGUUCGUAAAACUUAGGAUUUAGAAUCACUAAGUUCUUAGUAGGGGUUAUUGGUUGUUGUAUUUUAAUGGAUUUGAAAAUCCGAACUAAAUCUAGAGGAGCUAUUGGCACUUGGGGAACGCAUAGGAGAUGUGAGCACUGGACUUAGCGAAGAUGUCAUUCUGAAAACUAUGAAACAGCACAAAUGUACAUCUUCUUCUCCUGAGUUGCAUCAGUACAUGGAGCCUUGCUGUAUUUGUCAGGUAAACUAGUUAUAAACUAAAGAGUAUUCCUUUUCACUACUGUACAUUAAUCAUGCAUCUGUAUACUCAGCUUGGCCAGAAGGCCAUUCCUUACGCGACAAUUACACUUAGUGAGCAUAAAAGAUAAGAAAAGUGGUUUUUUAUUGUUUCUCUUGCAUGUGGAGUGAAUUAGGAUACUGCAGAUAAGAUAGAUUGGACCAGAGUUUGUUUGUUGUUUGGGAGCCUUCUGAGAUUUGGAAAACUUAGUUUCCUCUGUGUCUCUACUUAAUGUGUCUCUACUUAAAGUCACGAACUGAUGUGGAACUGUUUUUCUUGGUGCUGUUUUGACAGGAAGAAUAUGCAGAAGGUGAUGAUCUUGGGACCUUGGAAUGUGGCCAUGAGUUCCACAAGGACUGUAUCAAGCAAUGGGUCAUGCUCAAGAAUCUCUGCCCCAUAUGUAAGACCGUGGCAUUAACAACGUGAUGGUACUCUCAUCUUAAUUGCGCAUCCCGGCUCCAUUCAUCAUCCUUUCGAUGCCAAAAGAAAAGAAAAAAAAAAUAUUUUAAAGAACUGUUCUAUCUAUCCCUAUUCUCAUAUCAAAUAUUUAAUUGUUAUGCUUGCUCGUUAUGUCACACUGUUAAGAGAACAUUAUGACAAACAAAUUCAUAACAUAUCCAUGGAGAAAGAAUAAUUCAUUAGAAUCCUUUUGUAAUUGUUGAUAGUUGAUUGUUCAUUUCUUAAUAACAUGCCUUUCAAUUUCUUAAGCAUUUCACUUGGUGGAACUUCUGUGCGUCCCACUGGCUCUUUGCAACAGAAUAUACUAUUAAACGCUCCUUCCUCUGUAGAUCCUCUAGAUGUGAGGUCAACAGCAUUCGCUAGUGGCUCAAGCAGUGGUGAGCAUCCGACAAAUAUAGUCCAUCACCCUGCUUUGACGAGGAACAUACACCAGUUUUCUUGGGAUAGAGGAAGCGGUUCUUCGGGUGUUGAAAUGCCACAGUGGGAAACACCAAGAAGCAAUCCGGAGCAGCCCACCAUGUUUGCACCUCCAACUGACAUUAGAAACCCUGUGCAUGAUCAAUCCAUGUGGAGUUUCACACGUGGGAGUCCUGUAGAUUCUCCGUUCGCUUCUCGAGGAGGGCCGAGUUCAGCUAUUCAUGGGCAGCAGCAGCAGCCAUCAAAUCCCGCAUGGAUUCCUCCUCAGAGUGGCCCAAUACAUGAUCCAACGAGAGCAUCAGAACUAUCUCCUUGGUCUUUAUUUCCUAGUAUUGAAUCUCAAUCUGCUAGUCAUGGUCCCUUGUUGCCCACAGGUCCUUCUCUUUCCUCAAAUGAGGCUGCAAUGCCAUCUAGCUCUAAUAGCCGGAGCCAUCGCUCACGGCAAAGAAGGUCAGGGUUGUUAUCUGAGAGACAGAAUGAGCUUCUCCACUUGCGUCACUUAGGGAGGAGCUUAGCUGCUGACAGUGAUGGAAGGAAUCACCUUAUCUCUGAGGUCUGUCUUCUAUAUAUUACUCAGCUCUUUAAUGAUUAUUCUUAACAGCCUACAAUAGCAUUUGACCAUUUCUUGGGGGGUGAUGUUUUCUGGUGUUUUACUUUUGUGAUAUAAUCUGGUUUUGUACUUUUGUGAUCUAAGUUAAUAUAUGAGUGCUAGAGCAGUUUGGUGCAUUCUGAUAUGACUUAAUGCAAACCAUAGUAACGUUAUGGGAGAUGUUUCUUGUUUUGUAAACCUCCUUUUUGUUUUUGUUUUUUGUACUUCGAUAAGAGUUUUAAUAGUGAGUUGUACUGUACUCUUUCCUCUUUUUGUUCGCAGAUACGUCAGGUGUUGUCCGCCAUGAGAAGAGGGGAAAGUUUACGUAUUGAGGUAUGAUUUUGACACAAGUGAUUCUCUUGUUUAUAUCAGUUUAUUGGUAGACGUGUUUUCCUGAAGUGUGCGAAGGAGUCCCUGAAUACACGUUUUAGCUUUAUAACUUUUAAACCAUAGUUUCCUGCAAACAAGUGCCUGACAUCUUUGUAGCUGCAAUGUAUCAUAGUCUUAAGUGUUAUAGGUCUCACAUUACGAACAUAGUCUUAGCCACUUGUGAGUUCCUUUUAUUCCUUUCUGAAGCAUUACAUGUGUAGCUUACCUUCCUGUUUCUCCAUUCGAUAGGAUUACAUGGUGUUGGAUCCACUUAUCUUCCAGGGUAUGACUGAAAUGCACGAUAGGCAUCGGGAAAUGCGCCUUGAUGUCGACAACAUGUCGUACGAGGUGAGUAUUCAAUUUCCUUUUUGACUGUUUAACCGCAAUCUUCCCAUUUGCCAAUGUUGUCUGGGAAUGAAUGUAGGAGCUAUUGGCACUUGGGGAACGCAUAGGAGAUGUGAGCACUGGACUAAGCGAAGAUGUCAUUCUGAAAACAAUGAAACAGCACAAAUGUACAUCUUCUUCUCCUGAGUUGCAUCAGUACAUGGAGCCUUGCUGUAUUUGUCAGGUAAACUAGUUAUAAACUAAAGAGUAUUCCACUCCUUUCACUACUGUACAUUAAUCAUGCAUCUGUAUACUCAGCCAUUCCUUACGCGACAAUUACACUUAGUGAGCAUAAAAGAUAAGAAAAGUGGUUUUUUAUUGUUUCUCUUGCAUGUGGAGUGAAUUAGGAUACUGCAGAUAAGAUAGAUUGGACCAGAGUUUGUUUGUUGUUUGGGAGCCUUCUGAGAUUUGGAAAACUUAGUUUCCUCUGUGUCUCUACUUAAUGUGUCUCUACUUAAAGUCACGAACUGAUGUGGAACUGUUUUUCUUGGUGCUGUUUUGACAGGAAGAAUAUGCAGAAGGUGAUGAUCUUGGGACCUUGGAAUGUGGCCAUGAGUUCCACAAGGACUGUAUCAAGCAAUGGGUCAUGCUCAAGAAUCUCUGCCCCAUAUGUAAGACCGUGGCAUUAACAACGUGAUGGUACUCUCAUCUUAAUUGCGCAUCCCGGCUCCAUUCAUCAUCCUUUCGAUGCCAAAAGAAAAGAAAAAAACAAAAAAUUAAAGAACUGUUCUUCUAUCUAUCCCUAUCUCAUAUCAAAUAUUUAAUUGUUAUGCUUGCUCGUUAUGUCACACUGUUAAGAGAACAUUAUGACAAACAAAUUCAUAACAUAUCCAUGGAGAAAGAAUAAUUCAUUAGAAUCCUUUUGUAAUUGUUGAUAGUUGAUUGUUCAUUUCUUAAUAACAUGCCUUUCAAUUUCUUACAAAGAUUUUGGUUUUCAAAUUUUCUCAAAAGUAAAAACAGGAAUGCUUAAACUACAGAAUCAUGUACAAUAAAAGAGUUCACAUUUCUUGUUCCCAAUGAGAAUCAUUUCCUCAUAAUAAGAUGCUUUAAAGUUCUCACAAAUGUUUUGUUUAUGACAAUUGAGCAGUAUAAAUGCUUAAACUACAGAUAUCAUGUGUCUUAAUGUGUCUCUACUUAUGCUCUUGUUCCCAAUGAGAAUAAUCCCCUUUUUUUACUAGAAUCUUUUGUAAAUAGUUCACAGUUGAUUUCUUAAUAAGAUUCUUUAAAAUUCUUACAAAUAUUUUGUUUUUGAGAAUUGAGCAGUAGAAAUGCUUAGACUAGGGAAACAAAGCUUAUGUAGUAAAAACUCUUCUGUCUAAGGAAAGAGUAAAGAGCAUGUACAAUAAAACUCGGCCUGCUCAGGCAAAGCGCUGACAUUGAGAAAGAACACUUGAAAGAAAACGCACCGUCUCAUCAGAGUUGGGCUCCCCUAAAUGGCGUUGAUGAGUUUGGUCCCUGUAGCAGGAUCUUCAUCUAUGGCAACAACAUCGCUGAACUUGUCAAAAAGCUGCUCCAACUGAUCCACUCCCAUCUUAUUGUAAUCCAGUGACCUCUUGUACCUUUGCUUGUAUACCGCCUCAAAACAAUCCAUCCGCACGCGACAACCAUAGCUAACCAUAAUGUCUUGCAGCUCCAACUUGAACUCUUCCAGGCUCCUCUCGCUCUGAGUCGAACCAGUAUCCGAGAGUUCAUCAGAUGAGACUCCUCCUCCAUUGGUAGUAAUGCUGAUAUCUUUGUCUUUAUUCUCUCUCCUCAGUAGAACCACAGGCGGAGGAGAAGGAGGAGAGACACGGCUCGGUCUGGAGCUCCGAAGAUAAACAAACCUCUUGUUGCCUUUACCAUCCACAGCAAUCACAUCACCCAUCUUCUUGAAAAGAUCCACAAGCUUAGGCGAACCAUAAUCCGCCACAAAAAGAGGUUUACUAAAAUUCCUUUGAUACUCAGAAGGAACACGCAUGAGAGGCAUACACCCACCCGAAAGCUCCAAAAGCUUCACUAGCUGUCCCUUCAAACCAUUCAAAUCUCCAGGCGCUACCCACAUGGUGGACUCAAGGUGGCCAGGAGGAGGAUAACAUGACGGCAUCAUGCUGCUACUGCUACUACACUCAUUCUGAAACUGAGAAACCAUCAAGGAAGAAGCUUCUCUAGAGUUACCACUAUAAAAACUCUGAGACACACCUCUAUAAAGAAUCGUCUCAUCUUCAUUCACCGCCCCAUCAAGAUUAUUACUGCCACAUCCCAUCAGAUAGGUCCCAACACGAGGCCUCGGCAACGGCACAAACCCUUCACCGUGAACAAUGCUUUGCCAGUCCCAAACAAACUUACCAGCACUAGUCAAAGCCGGGUUCACGUACACGCCAGAAGGUAUAAUGACAACCACACUGUGCCCACGCUGGCCAAGCACGUGAAGAGCGGGAGCGAAAUCAACAUCUCCAGUGAUGAUAACGAUAGUGGAAGGAGGAGGAUGGUCAAGCACGAACAGGAACAUGUCGAGGAGGAUAGCUUUAUCAGCUGCGUCUUUCCUGCCGUUGGGUACAUCGACGAGUUUGACACCUGUCCUCUGACAGCCUUCCCUGACGCGGCGAGGGAAGGCGUUGAAGUCGCCGAAGGCUGAGAAGACGACCACCGAGCCGGAGACCACUGGGUGGAGCUGUAUAGCGGUUCGGAUGUUACUGGCGACGUCUUCGGGACGUACGUCGCUGGGGACGGGACAGUUUUCGAUGUCCCAGAGGACUGCUAGAGGAGCUUCGCGUCUCUGUGUGGCGGCCAUUAGGUUGAAAUCGCUUGCAAAGGAAUCAACGGAGACGAUCGCUGUUUCUGAUGGUGACAUUGCUUUUUGUAUCAUCAUCAAUCGCUGGCUUCUAUUAACAAACAAAAACACUUCGAGUAUGGUUUUAGCUAGGGAUUAGAGAAAUUGAG